UUAUGCAUUCAAGUUGAACAACUUCAUCGGCAGCCACACAGCCCCAUCUAGAGUGGGGGAGGUUCAGAAAUCUACAGAGGUGAUUGAGACGCACUACUAAGCAGGGGGCCCACGCACUGGGUUGCUAAUUACUUCUCUAUAGAGAAAUGGCAUUUUCCAAACGACAUCAUCCAUCUUCCUUAUGCCACCCAUGUUGCACGCAAUUGGCAAUGAGACCAGGCUAAUUUGAAAGAUGUGGAUGUGAGGAUUCUGCAGCUGAAGUUGUUCCACAUUUAAAGAGGGAGUGGGGAAAAACUGCAGAAAACAAUUCAUAACUUUUUU
Molecule: long non-coding RNA, 321 nt
Filed under: Homo sapiens (human)
Lineage: Eukaryota; Metazoa; Chordata; Mammalia; Primates; Hominidae
Description: HSALNT0213638
Source: RNAcentral